UUAUCCUACGGGAGGCAGCAGUGGGGAAUAUUGCACAAUGGGGGAAACCCUGAGCAGCGACGCCGCGUGCAGGAGAAGGUCUUCGGAUGGAAACUCCUGUUGGAGAGGAAGAUAAUGACGGUACUCAACAAGGAAGUGACCUCUAACUACGUGCCAGCAGCCGCGGUAAAACGUAGGUCACAAGCGUUGUCCGGAAUUACUGGGUGUAAAGGGAGCGCAGGCGGGAAGACAAGUUGGAAGUGAAAUCCAUGGGCUCAACCCAUAAACUGCUUUCAAAACUGUUUUUCUUGAGUAGUGCACAGGUAGGCGGAAUUCCCGGUGUAGCGGUGGAAUGCGUAGAUAUCGGGAGGAACACCAGUGGCGAAGGCGGCCUACUGGGCACCAACUGACGCUGAGGCUCGAAAGUGUGGGUAGCAAACAGGAUUAGAUACCCUGGUAGUCCACACCGUAAACGAUGAUUACUAGGUGUUGGAGGAUUGACCCCUUCAGUGCCGCAGUUAACACAAUAAGUAAUCCACCUGGGGAGUACGACCGCAAGGUUGA
RNAcentral lists this ribosomal RNA (543 nucleotides) under uncultured bacterium. RNAcentral's name for it is "bacterial SSU rRNA". It matches the Rfam family "Bacterial small subunit ribosomal RNA", at positions 334 to 897 of the family's 1533-position model. The record is from RNAcentral.